GACGAACGCUGACAGCAUGCUUAACACAUGCAAGUCGAACUGAAAUUCGGUGCGGGUGGCGGGUGCGUGAGUGACGAGUAGAGAACUAGCAUGACAGUAAGCUGCCAUUUAUGGAAACGAAAGUUCAUAAAAGAUAUGAUGAUUUCAGGGCAUACUUGAAUCUUGAAAGCUAUGUGUGCUGUGAGAGAGCUUUGGGUGACAUUCUCUAGUUGGAGGGGUAACGGCUCACCAAGGCGAGGAAGGGUAGCCGGCCUGAGAGGGUGAACGGCGACAAGGGGACUGGGACACGGCCCUUACCCCUACGGGAGGCAGCGUGGGGGAAUAUUGGACAAUGGACCAAGAGUCUGAUCCAGCAAUUCUGUGUGCACGAUGAAGUUUUUCGGAAUGUAAAGUGCUUGCAGGUGGGAAGAAAAAAAUGACGGUACCAACAGAAGAAGUGACGGCUAAAUACGUG
Molecule: ribosomal RNA, 454 nt
Filed under: uncultured bacterium
Lineage: Bacteria
Description: partial 16S ribosomal RNA
Rfam family: Bacterial small subunit ribosomal RNA
Source: RNAcentral